This is a small nucleolar RNA of Callithrix jacchus (white-tufted-ear marmoset), 101 nucleotides long. The record is from Ensembl. NCBI's taxonomy places the organism in Eukaryota, Metazoa, Chordata, Mammalia, Primates, Cebidae.
AACCAAAACCUCAGCAUGAUGACUGGGUUGUUUUCAUGCUAUUGUAUGAUAUAUGCCUUCCUCAAAACUUGUUAUGAUAUCAUUGCAUCACCCAUCUGAUG